RNAcentral lists this ribosomal RNA (466 nucleotides) under uncultured bacterium. Its description in RNAcentral is "bacterial SSU rRNA". It matches the Rfam family "Bacterial small subunit ribosomal RNA", at positions 331 to 793 of the family's 1533-position model. The record is from RNAcentral.
CCAGACUCCUACGGGAGGCAGCAGUGAGGAAUAUUGGUCAAUGGGCGGAAGCCUGAACCAGCCAAGUCGCGUGAGGGAAGAAGGCCCUGCGGGUCGCAGACCUCUUUGGACGGGGAGCAAGGCCGCCGACGUGUCGGCGGAAGGAGAGUACCCGUAGAACAAGCAUCGGCUAACUCCGUGCCAGCAGCCGCGGUAAUACGUAUGGAGCAAGCGUUAUCCGGAUUUACUGGGUGUAAAGGGAGCGCAGGCGGUCCGGCAAGUCUGAUGUGAAAGGCGGGGGCUCAACCCCCGGACUGCAUUGGAAACUGUCGGGCUGGAGUGUCGGAGGGGCAGGCGGAAUUCCUAGUGUAGCGGUGAAAUGCGUAGAUAUUAGGAGGAACACCGGUGGCGAAGGCGGCCUGCUGGACGACAACUGACGCUGAGGCUCGAAAGCGUGGGGAGCAAACAGGAUUAGAUACCCUGGUAC